Molecule: ribosomal RNA, 484 nt
Filed under: uncultured bacterium
Lineage: Bacteria
Description: partial 16S ribosomal RNA
Rfam family: Bacterial small subunit ribosomal RNA
Source: RNAcentral
AUUGAAUGCUGGCGGCAGGCCUAACACAUGCAAGUCGAGCGGAUGAAGGGAGCUUGCUCCUGGAUUCAGCGGCGGACGGGUGAGUAAUGCCUAGGAAUCUGCCUGGUAGUGGGGGAUAACGUCCGGAAACGGGCGCUAAUACCGCAUACGUCCUGAGGGAGAAAGUGGGGGAUCUUCGGACCUCACGCUAUCAGAUGAGCCUAGGUCGGAUUAGCUAGUUGGUGGGGUAAAGGCCUACCAAGGCGACGAUCCGUAACUGGUCUGAGAGGAUGAUCAGUCACACUGGAACUGAGACACGGUCCAGACUCCUACGGGAGGCAGCAGUGGGGAAUAUUGGACAAUGGGCGAAAGCCUGAUCCAGCCAUGCCGCGUGUAUGAAGAAGGUCUUCGGAUUGUAAAGCACUUUAAGUUGGGAGGAAGGGCAGUAAGUUAAUACCUUGCUGUUUUGACGUUACCAACAGAAUAAGCACCGGCUAACUUCGUG